AACGAACGCUGGCGGCAGGCUUAACACAUGCAAGUCGAACGGGUGUCGCAAGACAUCAGUGGCAGACGGGUGAGUAACACGUGGGAACCUUCCUAGGGGUACGGAACAACUCAGGGAAACUUGAGCUAAUACCGUAUACGUCCGUAAGGAGAAAGAUUCAUCGCCCCUAGACGGGCCCGCGUCGGAUUAGGUAGUUGGUGGGGUAACGGCCUACCAAGCCUACGAUCCGUAGCUGAUCUGAGAGGANGAUCAGCCACACUGGGACUGAGACACGGCCCAGACUCCUACGGGAGGCAGCAGUGGGGAAUCUUGGACAAUGGGCGCAAGCCUGAUCCAGCCAUGCCGCGUGAGUGAAGAAGGCCUUAGGGUUGUAAAGCUCUUUUACCAGGGACGAUAAUGACGGUACCUGGAGAAUAAGCCCCGGCAAACUUCGUGCCAGCAGCCGCGGUAAU
This 452-nucleotide ribosomal RNA is filed under the name uncultured bacterium. RNAcentral's name for it is "bacterial SSU rRNA". It matches the Rfam family "Bacterial small subunit ribosomal RNA", at positions 29 to 524 of the family's 1533-position model. The record is from RNAcentral.